RNAcentral lists this ribosomal RNA (780 nucleotides) under uncultured microorganism. RNAcentral describes it as "bacterial SSU rRNA". It matches the Rfam family "Bacterial small subunit ribosomal RNA", at positions 8 to 796 of the family's 1533-position model. The record is from RNAcentral.
AGAGUUUGAUCAUGGCUCAGGAUGAACGCUGGCGGCGUGCUUAACACAUGCAAGUCGAACGAUGACUUCUGUGCUUGCACAGAAUGAUUAGUGGCGAACGGGUGAGUAACACGUGAGUAACCUGCCCUUAACUUCGGGAUAAGCCUGGGAAACUGGGUCUAAUACCGGAUACGACCAUCUGGCGCAUGCCAUGGUGGUGGAAAGCUUGAUGCGGUUUUGGAUGGACUCGCGGCCUAUCAGCUUGUUGGUUGGGGUAAUGGCCCACCAAGGCGACGACGGGUAGCCGGCCUGAGAGGGUGACCGGCCACACUGGGACUGAGACACGGCCCAGACUCCUACGGGAGGCAGCAGUGGGGAGUAUUGCACAAUGGGCGAAAGCCUGAUGCAGCGACGCCGCGUGAGGGAUGACGGCCUUCGGGUUGUAAACCUCUUUCAGCAGGGAAGAAGCGAAAGUGACGGUACCUGCAGAAGAAGCGCCGGCUAACUACGUGCCAGCAGCCGCGGUAAUACGUAGGGCGCAAGCGUUAUCCGGAAUUAUUGGGCGUAAAGAGCUCGUAGGCGGUUUGUCGCGUCUGCUGUGAAAGCCCGGGGCUCAACCCCGGGUCUGCAGUGGGUACGGGCAGACUAGAGUGCAGUAGGGGAGACUGGAAUUCCUGGUGUAGCGGUGAAAUGCGCAGAUAUCAGGAGGAACACCGAUGGCGAAGGCAGGUCUCUGGGCUGUAACUGACGCUGAGGAGCGAAAGCAUGGGGAGCGAACAGGAUUAGAUACCCUGGUAGUCC